AGACCGCCAGCUAAGGUCCCAAAGAUUGGCUAAGUGGAAAACGAAGUGGGAAGGCUAAAACAGUCAGGAGGUUGGCUUAGAAGCAGCCAUCCUUUAAAGAAAGCGUAAUAGCUCACUGAUCGAGUCGUCCUGCGCGGAAGAUGUAACGGGGCUAAGCCAGUCACCGAAGCUGCGGAUAUCCGCAAGGAUAU
Molecule: non-coding RNA, 191 nt
Filed under: Oryza sativa Indica Group (long-grained rice)
Lineage: Eukaryota; Viridiplantae; Streptophyta; Magnoliopsida; Poales; Poaceae
Description: Bacterial large subunit ribosomal RNA
Rfam family: Bacterial large subunit ribosomal RNA
Source: Rfam by way of RNAcentral